Molecule: long non-coding RNA, 264 nt
Filed under: Capsicum annuum
Lineage: Eukaryota; Viridiplantae; Streptophyta; Magnoliopsida; Solanales; Solanaceae
Description: long non-coding RNA (CANN_LNC008565)
Source: RNAcentral
GACUGAAGUGGAUGUGGCUGGGGUCCUCUUACUCUAUGUGCUCAUUCUAGGGCAUCUCUCUUCUCCUUCAUCUCAAAAUAUAUACUAACAUAACAUCUACUCCCUCUCUAGCAGUAGGCUCUACAGGAACUAAUGGGCUAGUAGACUAGGUCGGAAUUACUAUCGGAGGGAUAUGGUACCUCUGUGCAAGGAUCAACUUUGCCGAAACCUAAAUCAUAUUAGUAUGGGCCAUGCCCGUCGCCUUUACCCUCACAUCAACACCUA